This 864-nucleotide ribosomal RNA is filed under the name Triticum aestivum (bread wheat). RNAcentral's name for it is "partial small subunit ribosomal RNA". Lineage: Eukaryota; Viridiplantae; Streptophyta; Magnoliopsida; Poales; Poaceae. The record is from RNAcentral.
AUGGAGCAUGUUAAACCUAUCAUAAACGAAGACGGGAUUCUUAAAAAGUACAAGCUGUCUUUCUAUGACGGAGAGCUUCCGAGGGUGGAGGAUACACCCUAUGCAUGCCCUUUGGAUAGGUAUGGAGAUCUGGUCUAUCUGAAGGCGACUUUGUCGUCCGAUCCAUCGGCAGGGCAAUGCACUGUCAUGCUCAUCCAUCAGCCGUACGCGCAGCUCUCGUUUGCCAAAGUGGGAGAUGCUCACUGGAACUGGCUCCACAUGCAUAGUUUCUACGCAGAUUGCAUACACCAUGAUGGCUGUUUCUACGCAAUGACUGCGGCAGGCGCAAUUGAUGUGUUUGAUUUGAACGGACCAUCUGUCGUCCACAGAAGGAUUUUACCAAAUCUAGUUCGGAUGGUCCAGAAGUGCUACGUUGUUCAGGCACCAUGGGGAGAUGUCCUCCAAAUCAUUAAGGAGGAGAGUUUGGAUCCUGAACAACCAGAUGGUGAGACGUAUGUCACUGCUUAUGAAGUGUACAAGGUUGAUUUUGUUGAGCUGAAGCGUGUCAAGAUGAGAGGGAUAGGUGAAUAUGCAUUGUUUACUGGGAAAAGCACAACAUCUUGCUUUAGCGCAAAGGAUCAUCCAAGCUUGAUGGCAAACCAUCUAUAUUUUACUCAUGAUGAUCACGAUGAAUUACUCAGCGGCAAAGAUGAUCCACGUGACAUAGGAGUGUACGACUUGGAAAAUGAUACCAGAACCAAUUUGGUUGAUCCUGAACCCUGGCGGACGUGGUUCCCUCCCAUAUGGUUCACACCCAAUCUUGCAAAAGCAGGUAUAUUUCAUUUUCAAACAGUACUUUUCCUGAUAUUAUUUUUAGUAUUUUGA